GGAAGGAUCAUUACCACAUCCAAAACUUUAUAAACCCACAAGUGUGAAGUUGUGAAAGAGAGCUUCUUCUCCUUUUUGGAGGAAAAAAAAAGGAAUGCUCUCUGUAACUAAACUUUUUUUUAAAUUUUGAACCCCUUUUGAACUUUUUUUUUUGAAGAAUAAGCAAGACUAAAAACAAAAAAAUGAGAAAAGAGAAAAACAACUUUUAACGGUGGAUCUCUUGGCUCGUGCAUCGAUGAAGAACGCAGCAAGCUGCGAUACGUAAGUGAAUUGCAGAAAUCAGUGAAUCAUCGAGUCUUUGAACGCAACUUGCGCUCUCGGGUAUUCCCGGGAGUAUGCCUGCUUGAGUGUCAUUUCAACUCUCCUUUUUUUCUUUUCUUCUUCUUUCUUUCUUCUUUCUUUUUUUAUUGGAAACUUUAAAAAAGAAGAAAAAGAAUCACAAAAAAAGAAAAAGAAAAAAAAGGGUUUUGAGCUGAGACGGACCUUGGAGUCUGUGCAGCUUUAAGAUUGUUGGUGAGGGAGCAAAAAGGGUUUCCUUUUUGUUUUCUUCCUAUAACCACCUGAUGUGGCAAUUUUCCUGCAAAGGAGAAACGAUCAUCUUGUGAGGGAAAGAAAACUGAAUUGGUCAUGGCUUUUUUUAUUCUAUUCCAAACUCACACUGAAAUGACCUUUUUUUUUUCUUCUUCUUCUUCUUCUCUUUUGUUUUUUUCUUUUUUUUUGAGGAAAACAAACAAAAAGAGAGAGAGAGAGAGAGAGAGAGAUAAAAAAAACAACUCAAAAUUUGACCUCAGGUCAGGCAAGACUACCCGCUGAACUUAAGCAUAUCAAUAAGCGGAGGAAAAGAAACUAACAAGGAUUCCCCUAGUAACGGCGAGUGAAGCGGGAAGAGCUCAAUGUUGAAAUCUCCGGGGGGAACCUCGGCGAAUUGUAGUUUAGAGAAGUGUUUUCUGGGGUGGGCAGCGAUCUAAGUUUCCUUGGAAAAGGGCACCAUGGAGGGUGAGAGUCCCGUUUGUGGUUGCCUGCUGCACUCCUAUACGAAGCAUUUUCGAAGAGUCGGGUUGUUUGGGAAUGCAGCCCAAAAUGGGUGGUAAAUUUCAUCUAAAGCUAAAUAUGGGCACGAGACCGAUAGCGAACAAGUACCGUGAGGGAAAGAUGAAAAGCACUUUGAAAAGAGAGUCAAAUAGUACGUGAAACCGUUAAAAGGGAAGCGAUUGGAGCUAGCAGUGCGACCAUGGCAAUCAGCCGGAGGGGUGUGAGCCUGGGUGCUGGUGGAGCGCAAGCCCACUGGUGUUCUGGCCCCUUGCACUUCUGCGGUGCACUUGUUGUGGUGGCGGGUCAACAUCGGUUCUGCGUGCGGGGGACGGGGGUACGGAAGGUGGCUCCCUUUGGGGAGCGUUACAGCUGUGCCUCUACGCCGCGUGCGGGACCGAGGGUGUCGCAGCACAUGCCGCAAGGCUGGGGAACCGUGCUUUCUUUGUGUGACGAGUGUGCGACUGCGUGCAGUGGUAUGCUUAGCGCGUGGAGAGGGGUGCGGGGACCACAAACUGUGCUUCGGAUGUUGACGAAAUGGCUUCAAACGACCCGUCUUGAAACACGGACCAAGGAGUCUAACAUAUGCGCGAGUCUUAGGGUGUCAAACCCCGGGGCAUAAUGAAAGUGAAGGCGGUCUUGGGCCGCUGAGGGGCGAUCCCCGUAAUGGGGCGCAACCCGACCGAUCUGGAUAUUCUUUGAAAGAUUUGAGUAGGAGCGUAUCUGUUGGGACCCGAAAGAUGGUGAACUAUGCCUGAAUAGGGUGAGGCCAGAGGAAACUCUGGUGGAAGCUCGUAGCGGUUCUAACGUGCAAAUUGAUCGUCGAAUUUGGGUAUAGGGGCGAAAGACUAAUCGAACCAUCUAGUAGCUGGUUCCCGC
RNAcentral lists this unclassified non-coding RNA (1908 nucleotides) under uncultured fungus. Its description in RNAcentral is "sequence contains 18S rRNA gene, ITS1, 5.8S rRNA gene, ITS2, 28S rRNA gene". The stretch from base 783 to 1908 matches the Rfam family "Eukaryotic large subunit ribosomal RNA", at positions 1 to 961 of the family's 3401-position model. The record is from RNAcentral. Lineage: Eukaryota; Fungi.